GACGAACGCUGGCGGCGUGCUUAACACAUGCAAGUCGAACGGACAGGCGCUGCUUUUGCUGGGUGCUCGAGUGGCGCACGGGUGAGUAACACGUGUGUAACCUGCCCUUGACUUUGGGAUAACUUCUGGAAACUGGGGCUAAUACCGGAUAGGAGCUCUUGAUGCAUGGUGGGGAUUGGUAAGUUUCGGCGGUUGGGGAUGGACUCGCGGCUUAUCCGCUUGUUGGUGGGGUAGUGGCUUACCAAGGCUUUGACGGGUAGCCGGCCUGAGAGGGUGACCGGCGACAUUGGGACUGAGAUACGGACCAGACUCCUACGGGAGGCAGCAGUGGGGAAUAUUGCACAAUGGGCGGAAGCCUGAUGCAGCAACGCCGCGUGCGGGAUGACGGCUUUCGGGUUGUAAACCGCUUUCGCCGGUGACGAAGCGUGAGUGACGGUAAUGGGUAAAGAAGCACCGGCUAACUACGUG
RNAcentral lists this ribosomal RNA (468 nucleotides) under uncultured bacterium. RNAcentral's name for it is "partial 16S ribosomal RNA". It matches the Rfam family "Bacterial small subunit ribosomal RNA", at positions 28 to 507 of the family's 1533-position model. The record is from RNAcentral.